This 396-nucleotide ribosomal RNA is filed under the name uncultured bacterium. Its description in RNAcentral is "bacterial SSU rRNA". It matches the Rfam family "Bacterial small subunit ribosomal RNA", at positions 505 to 898 of the family's 1533-position model. The record is from RNAcentral.
GUGCCAGCCGCCGCGGUAAUACGUAGGGGGCGAGCGUUGUCCGGAUUUAUUGGGCGUAAAGAGCUCGUAGGCGGCUGUUCGAGUCGGGUGUGAAACCCCAGGGCUUAACUCUGGGCCUGCAUUCGAUACUGGGCGGCUUGAGUCUGGUAGGGGGAUCUGGAAUUCCUGGUGUAGCGGUGGAAUGCGCAGAUAUCAGGAGGAACACCGGUGGCGAAGGCGGGAUCCUGGGCCAGUACUGACGCUGAGGAGCGAAAGCGUGGGGAGCAAACAGGAUUAGAUACCCUGGUAGUCCACGCUGUAAACGAUGGGUGCUAGGUGUGGGGGGUUAUCGACUCCCUCCGUGCCGCAGCUAACGCAUUAAGCACCCCGCCUGGGGAGUACGGCCGCAAGGCUAAA